This 429-nucleotide ribosomal RNA is filed under the name Gemmatimonadota bacterium. RNAcentral describes it as "Gemmatimonadetes bacterium partial 16S ribosomal RNA". It matches the Rfam family "Bacterial small subunit ribosomal RNA", at positions 355 to 776 of the family's 1533-position model. The record is from RNAcentral. Lineage: Bacteria; Pseudomonadati; Gemmatimonadota.
UAGGGAAUCUUCGGCAAUGGACGAAAGUCUGACCGAGCAACGCCGCGUGAGUGAAGAAGGUUUUCGGAUCGUAAAACUCUGUUGUUAGAGAAGAACAAGGACGUUAGUAACUGAACGUCCCCUGACGGUAUCUAACCAGAAAGCCACGGCUAACUACGUGCCAGCAGCCGCGGUAAUACGUAGGUGGCAAGCGUUGUCCGGCUUUAUUGGGCGUAAAGCGAGCGCAGGCGGUUUCUUAAGUCUGAUGUGAAAGCCCCCGGCUCAACCGGGGAGGGUCAUUGGAGACUGGGAGACUUGAGUGCAGAAGGGGAGAGUGGAAUUCCAUGUGGAGCGGUGAAAUGCGUAGAUAUAUGGAAGAACGCCAGUGGCGAAGGCGGCUCGCUGGUCUGUAACUGACGCUGAGGCUCGAAAGCGUGGGGAGCAAACAGG